Molecule: non-coding RNA, 541 nt
Organism: Paramuricea clavata
Lineage: Eukaryota; Metazoa; Cnidaria; Anthozoa; Malacalcyonacea; Plexauridae
Source: the annotation of a GenBank genome assembly
CUGCGACAGAAUUAUCUGUUUAUACAGAGAUGAACAUGUAUUAAUCGCUGAUAUCUGGAAAGAUUAUAUUGCUGUUAUCUUCGUAAGUUAUCACUUUGUACAUGUUUAUAUGUUUUGAUAACAGAUCUUAAACCAGCCUUGUUACGGCGUUUUGAUCGUUGAAUAAGUUAUACGUCAAACGAGGUGUUUCAAUUACUGAACAAUCGAAUCUGCUUAUAUAGCAAUAGCUUGGGAUAAAGGUUCUAAUCUGCAUGUAUUUGGUUUAGGGUGAUAAGUGAGAUCAGAUUAAGGAUUUGGGACCAGGAUAUACUCAACCUCGUACACUGUAAAUUUUAAGGAGUUGAAUCAAGUCCAAAAGAGUUAUUCUGUCACGAAAAACGGUUUUCUUUGAGAAACUAUUUGGAAUCUGUUUGGAAGCUAUUUAAGAAUUAAAUUCGAAUCAACGGCAUAUACUUGAUACAAAAAUAUGCCACAAACAUUGCAGGCUUGAAAACGGAAGCGAGGUAGCGAGGGGCGUGACUAAAACACCACAUGAGUUGCA